Molecule: long non-coding RNA, 5807 nt
Organism: Oncorhynchus masou masou (cherry salmon)
Lineage: Eukaryota; Metazoa; Chordata; Actinopteri; Salmoniformes; Salmonidae
Exons: 4
Source: RefSeq, a predicted model, not a curated record
GUAGUAUAACAGUAUAAUGAGGUGCAGUCUAUUAACUUAUGCUUUAUUCUCAGUAACUAUUCAGUUUUAGUAUUUUCUAAUUGAAAUGUACCCAGUCCUUGUUUGGGAUAUGUUGUUAUUUGGGAUACAUUUUCCCUUUUAUAGUUUGUAACCAGUAUGUGAUAGUUCAAGUACAUAUUUUCUCUAAUUACAGGUACAAGAAAUUCACGACCUACUUCCAUUGACUCUUCACUCGUCUAGAGUGUUGGGCAUUCAGCUAUCAGGAGGAGCUGCCAACCUGAGGGAGUGACACCAAUAAGGCAGCAUGCGGAUCCUUAAGGGUAAACCCCUCCAGAGGACGAAAGUGUUAAAUCCCCCUGCGCCUGACGGCUUACUAUGAGGAACGGGUGACUGACAUUGUCCUUGGCCGCUCGGAAAUGUUCCAGAACUCACAUUUUCUGGCACAGGAUAGUAGCGUCAACCCAUCUGACAUUGAGCAGGUGUGCAGGGAGGAAGCAGUACAGGGUGAAGGGCACCACACCAGGCCUGACCUAUACUGCGGACAUGCAUUUGUUCAGUAGGGCACAUGGGAGCUCCAUGCAGACACCAGGCUGCUGUGGUCCAGAUAUACAAAUGCCUGUCCAGCAACAUCCUCCUGACAACAUUGGAGAUGAGGGAUGAGUUGCUGAAGACAACAGGAGAUGGAUACUCUUUCACUACCUGUGGUGUGGGAAAAGGAUACAUCAACACCCUGAAGAGAUGUUUGUGGUGCACUCACUCAUAACACGUUUUUGAGUGAUUAAUGAGUAUCAUCUUCAAGGUUGGUAAGAAGCAAUCAGUUACAAGUCAAAAAGACAGAUUGAGGCCUUCAAUCGAACUGAGGACAGAGAAAUAUGUGUGCACCGGGUCAAGGCUUCUUGCAUGCAUAACUUUUAGAUGUAAGUUCUUCAAUUAAUUUUGGAAAAAUAAAAUGAAUUGCCAUAUUUCUUCUGCCCAAGCCUCAUACACCUUAGUCAGGAAGAAGAGAAUACUAGUAGACGACUGGCUCUUAAUGAUUAAGUCUAGAUUGAAGAUCAUAAUUAGUUGAUUAGUUUGAAUCAAUUGUGUUGAGGCUUGGCUGUAGAAAAAUAUUGUAUGUGGCUCUUUAAGACAGGGGGCACCAAUGUUUUGUGGGAGGGUGCGGGACCUUCCCUGAUUUGAGGGAACAAUAUAUUUUUUACGAAUCAUUUACGUUUUGGUUAUACCGAUUUUUAAAACAAUGCAUAAAUGCGAUAUGCUUUAGGCUAAAAACAGGUGGUUAAAUGCCUGAGGAAGAUGUGACUCUGCACAUGGGAAUAUCUUUGGUAUGUCUCUGACAUUCAGAAGCUGAGGUAAGACCUUCUGAAGUCGAGGAGUCAAAGAAAUUAUACUUAUACAAUGUGUGACUGUCGCUAUCAAUUGUUCGAUUGAUCUGUGUUAAAAAUGGUGCCGGAGAAGAAGGCAGACGUUUUAUGUGUCCCCAACCGAUUUUGUUUUUUUGUUUGUUUAUUUGUAUUGUUUGUAACUUACAAAAUAAGUUUAAAAAGUAUGUAAUAUUACUGCUACCGUCUCUUAUGACCGAAAAUAACUUCUGGACAUCAGGACUGCGAUUACUCACCACGGACUGGCAGAAUCCUUUUUCUCCUUUAAUGAGUCUGAUGAGGCCGACUCGAAUGAUACUGCUUUCUCGGGAACAGGCCCAGAUCCCGGUGAUUUGCGUGAAGAGGAGAAAGAGAAAGGGGCCAGAGGGCAGGCGGCCUUCUGAGAAUUCAUAGGUGAUCGAAUAAACCCCCACUUCCUUCCAUUCUAUAGCAAACAUGCAAUCUUUGAAGAAUAAAAUCGAUGACCUACGUGGGAAGAUUAAACUACCAACGGGGACAUAUCUUAUGCUUCACAGAGUUGUGGCUGAACGACGACACUAUCAACAUACAGCUGGCUGGUUAAACACUGUAGAUAGAACAGCAGUAUCUGGUAAGCCAAGAGGCGGCGGACAAUGUAUUUUUGUAAAUAACAGCUGGUGCACAAUAUCUAAGUAAGUCUCGAGCUAUUGCUCGCCUUAGGUAGUGCGGUCGAUAGCUUAUGAGAUACUCUAUCUACCUAGAGAGUUUCAAUAUGUAUUUUUCAUAGCUGUUUACAUACCACUAAGACAGUGUUGCAUGAGCUGUAUUCUGCCAUAAGCAAACAAGAACAAGGCCCUGCUAGUAGCUGGGGACUUUAAUGCAGGGAAACUUAAAUCCGUUUUAACAAAUUUCUAUCUGCAUGUUAAAUGUGCAACCAGAGGGGGGGAAAAAACUCUGGACCACCUUUACUCCACAGACAGAGACACAUACAAAGCUCUCCCUCGCCCUCCAUUUGGCAAAUCUGACCAUAAUUAUAUCCUCCUGAUUUCUGCUUACAAGCAAAAAUUAAAGCAGGAAGCACCAGUGACAAGAUCAAUAAAAAAAGUGGUCAGAGGAAGCAGAUGCUAAGCUACAGAAAUGUUUUGCUAGCACAGACUGGAAUAUGUUCCGGGAUUCUUCUGAUGGGAUUGAGGAGUACACCACAUCAGUCAUUGGCUGUAGAAGCCAAUGACGUCAUCCCCACAGUGACCGUACGUACAUACCCCAACCAGAAGCCAUGGAUUACAGGCAACAUCCACACUGAUCUAAAGGCUAGAGCUGCCGCUUUGAAGGAGUGGGACUCUAACCCAGAAGCUUAUAAGAAAUCCUGCUAUGCCCUCUGACGAACCAUCAGGCAAGGCAGGACAGGACUAAGAUUGAAUUGUACUACACCGGCUCUGACGCUCAUUGGAUGUGGCAGGGCUUGCAAACCAUGAGACAACAAAGGGAAGCACAGCCAAGAGCUGUCCAGUGACACAAGCCUACCAGAUGAGCUAAACUACUUCUAUGCUCGCGUCAAGGCAAAUAACACUGAAACAUGCAUGAGAGCACCAGCUGUUCCGGAAGACUGUGUGAUGACACUUUUCACAACUGAUGUGAGACCUUUUAAACAAGUCAACAUUCACAAGACGGAUUACCAGGGACGUGUACUGUGAGCCUGUUUUAUUUUUUUAUUGUACCUUUAUUUAACGAGGCAAGUCAGUGAAGAACAAAUUCUUAUUUUCAAUGAUGGCCUAGGAACAGUGGGUUAACUGCCUGUUCAGGGGCAGAACGACAGAUUUGUACCUUGUCAGCUCGGGGGUUUGAACUUGCAACUUUCCGGUUACUAGUCCAAUACCCUAACCACUAGGCUACCCUGCCACCCUGUGCUGACCAACUGACAUUUUCAGCCUCUCCAAGUCCAAGUCUGUAAUAUCAACAUGUUUUAAGCAGACCACCAUAAUGCCUAUGCCCAAAAUUACUAAGGUAACCAGCCUAAAUGACUACCGACCCGUAGCACUCACAUCUGUAGCCAUGAAGUGCUUUGAAAGGCUGAUCAUGGCGCACAGCAACACCAUUAUCUCAGAAAUCUUAGACCCUCUCCAAUUUGCAUACUGUCCCAACAGAUCCACAGAUGAAGUGAUCUCUAUUGCACUCCACACUGCCCUUCUCCACCUGGACAAAAGGAACACCAAUGUGAGAAUUCUAUUCAUUGACUAGAGCUCGGUGUUCAACACCAUAGUGCCCUCAAAGCUCAUCAAUAAUAAGGACCCUGGGACUAAACACCUCCCUUUGCAACUGGAUCCUGGACUUCCUGACGGGCCGCCCCCAGGUGGUAAGGGUAGGCAACAACACAUCUGCCACACUGCUUCUCAACACAGGGUCCCCUCAGUGGUGCGUGCUCAGUCCCCUUCUGUACUCCCUCUUCACUCAUGACUGCACGGCCAGGCACGACUCCAACACCAUCAUUAAAUUUGCCUAUGACACAACAGUGGUAGGCCUGAUUACGACAAUGAUGAGACAGCCUGUAGGGAGGAGGUCAGAGACCUGGCCGUGUGGUGCCAGGACAACAACCUCUCCCUCAACAUGAUCAAGACAAAGGAGUUGAUUGUGGACUAUAGGAAAAAGAAGACCGAGCGCAUGCCCCCAUUCUCAUUGACGGGGCUGCAGUGGAGCAGGUUGAGAUCUUCAAGUUCCUUGGUGUCCACAUCACCAACAAGCUAUCAUGGUCCAAGCACACCAAGACAGUCAUGAAGAGGGCACGACCACCUAUUCCCUCUUAGUAGCCUGAAAAGAUUUGGCAUGGGUCCUCAGAUCCUCAAAAGGUUCUACAGCUGCAACAUCGAGAGCAUCCUGACAGGUUGCAUCACUGCCUGGUAUGGCAACUGCUCAGCCUUCGACUGCAAGGUACUACUGAGGGUAGUGCGAACAACCCAGUACAUCACUGGGGCCAAGCUUCCUGCCAUCCAGGACCUCUAUACCAGGCGGUGUCAAGAGGAAGGCCCUAAAAAUUGUCAGACACCAGCCACCCUAGUCAUCAAAUCACAUUUUAUUUGUCACAUACACAUGGUUAGCAGAUGUUAAUGCGAGUGUAGCAAAAUGCUUGUGCUUCUAGUUCCGACAAUGCAGUAAUAACCAACAAGUAAUCUAACUAACAAUUCCAAAACUACUGUCUUAUACACAAGUGUAAGGGGAUAAAGAACAUGUACAUAAGGAUAUAUGAAUGAGUGAUGGUACAGAGCAGCAUAGGCAAGGUACAGUAGAUGGUAUCGAGUACAGUAUAUACAUAUGAGAUGAGUAUGUAAACAAAGUGGCAUAGUUAAAGUUUAGACUGAUUAUUUCACUUAUAAUGAUGUCAUGGCUCUAGAAGCUUCUGAUAGGCUAAUUGACAUAAUUUGAGCCAAUUGGAGGUGUACCUGUGGAUGAAUUUCAAGGCCUACCUUUCAGACUCAGUGCCUCCUUUUGCUUGACAUCAUGGGAAAAUAAAAAGAAAUCAGCCAAGACCUCAGAAAAAAAUUGUAGACCUCCACAAGUCUGGUUCAUCCUUGGGAGAAAUUUCCAAACGCCUGAAGGUACCACGUUCAUCUGUACAAACGAUAGUACUCAAGUAACACCAUGGGACCAAGCAGCCGUCAUACCGCUCAGGAAGGAGAUGCUAUCAGUCUCCUAGAGAUGAACGUACAUUGUUGCAAAAAGUGCAAAUCAAUCCCAGAACAACAUCAAACAUCAAAUUGCUACCAAAUACUAAUUGAGUGUAUGUAAACUUCUGACCCACUGGGAAUGUGAUGAAAGAAAUGAAAGCUGAAAUAAAUCAUUCUCUCUACUAUUACUCUGACAUUUCAUAUUCUUAAAAUUAAGUGGUGAUCCUAACUGACCUAAGACAGUGAAUCUUUACUAGGAUUAAAUGUCAGCAAUUGUGAAAAACUGAGUUUAAAUGUAUUUGGCCAAUGUAUGUAAAGGAGUAUGUAAACUUCUGACUUCAUCUGUAUAAUGGCAGUUUCAGUGAGAAGCAUAGCAACAUCAAGGUAACUUUGUAACAUCUGACCCCCUUUUUCCAAAGCCAAACCCAUUAGCCACUGAGUACCUUUUUUAAGAUGCCAAAAUAGAAAAUGCUUUCAGUAACCAUAAUGUUGUUUUUGUUUUCUUACUGUUUCAGUGCAUGUAUUCAAAAAUCUUUGGAUGACGUACUUCCACAGGGCUGCCAUCUACAAAGUUCACUCAAAAAGCCUAUAGUUCUGAACCAAGUUAGAUUUUUAGUUUUAAUUCACAUUCUCAUCUCUUUUAAGCUUCAAUUGGUUAAUGGCUAAUUGCUCAGUUAUCACUUGGCUCAUGUAAAUUCUGUAGUUUCCCCUCUAAACAUCCUAAGUUCAACAUCCUCAUAGUGUUCACAUAUUUCUCAUGUAAAUGUUGUUGCUACAUAAAAAUAUUAAAUAAACAAUUUAUUUGGGAAAU